This 414-nucleotide long non-coding RNA is filed under the name Olea europaea (common olive). Its description in RNAcentral is "long non-coding RNA (OEUR_LNC002677)". Lineage: Eukaryota; Viridiplantae; Streptophyta; Magnoliopsida; Lamiales; Oleaceae. The record is from RNAcentral.
AGAAAGAGAGUUCAUAACAUAUAAAACAUUUUCAAAAGAAGAGUAGAAAUGAAUUCCAGCAACAGCAAUGGUCCAGGAUUGAGCAAGAAUGAAAGUUUGAUUCCCAAAGGAAAGCAGCAUGUUUCAACAAUGAUGGGAAAGAAAAUGGCUGAGGCUGCGAAGAAAGUAGCAAAAUCGACAGUCACGGCUGCCAAGAAGCACAACGACAAGGCAAAGAUAAAUGCCGGUAACUAGAAUUCCGGAUGAGCAUAGUGCCAAAUUCGAAAGCUAUAGUUUUUUAUUGUCUUGUUUGUAUAAUGUAAUAUAUAUACAUGUAACAAAGGAAUAACAGUGAUAAAAUGACGUGUGUGUGUGUGUGUUUAUGUAACAUUUAUAUAAAAGUUGUACUGUGUUUACUAUUAGUAAAUAUCUACC